GUAGGUGAACCUGCGGAAGGAUCAUUAACACUUUUUUCUUUACCCAUCUCUCUCUUAUCAAAACACCUUAGUUGAAACGAUCAAAAACAAAACAUAUUUAUUCUCUUAUUUAACUCCUUACCGAGUGUAAUUAAAUCUAAUUCAAAACCAAAACAAACAAAAACCAAAAACAAACAAACAAAAACAAAAACAAAAACAACUCUUAACAAUGGAUAUCUUGGUUCUCGCAUCGAUGAAGAACGCAGCAUCU
Molecule: unclassified non-coding RNA, 250 nt
Filed under: plant metagenome
Description: partial contains small subunit ribosomal RNA, internal transcribed spacer 1, and 5.8S ribosomal RNA
Rfam family: 5.8S ribosomal RNA (bases 198-250)
Source: RNAcentral